This 204-nucleotide non-coding RNA is filed under the name Paramagnetospirillum magnetotacticum MS-1. Lineage: Bacteria; Pseudomonadati; Pseudomonadota; Alphaproteobacteria; Rhodospirillales; Magnetospirillaceae. The record is from RNAcentral.
UUCCUCGUUUUAUAAAACUGGGCGUUGCGACCGGAAACGACGCAACGGAUUCGCUCAAAGUCGGGGAACGCUAGACGUACUUUCGUCUUGCCAAUCCCGAGCCAAGCCCCGCAAGGGGAAGGUGUAGAGACUGGACGGGCGACACCUAAGGACUUUGGUCUAUGGUGAAGGGACAGUCCAGACCACGAACGCCGAAAGGCGGCG